CGCACUAGUCGGGGAGUUAGCGGUGCCCUGUUGCCUGCAAUCCGCUAUAGCAGGGAUGAAGUCCCACAUGAGGGUCUGCGCUGUGCCGUCUGUCCAUGUAAGUGGUGUUGAGGAAUCGGUCUUGCGCAACGGGCUCCCGUGAACCAUGUCAGGCGGGGAACCGAGCAGCAUUAAGCGGAUCUGUCCGUGUGCCGCGAGGAUGCCGUUUCUGAGCCAACUGCAUGGGAAACGGGUAUGGUUGCAGAUUCGGGUGUGGGUGUGC
This 262-nucleotide signal recognition particle RNA is filed under the name uncultured Faecousia sp. RNAcentral's name for it is "Bacterial large signal recognition particle RNA". It matches the Rfam family "Bacterial large signal recognition particle RNA". Rfam says of the family: The signal recognition particle (SRP) is a universally conserved ribonucleoprotein involved in the co-translational targeting of proteins to membranes. Lineage: Bacteria; Bacillati; Bacillota; Clostridia; Eubacteriales; Oscillospiraceae. The record is from RNAcentral.